RNAcentral lists this ribosomal RNA (492 nucleotides) under uncultured bacterium. Its description in RNAcentral is "partial 16S ribosomal RNA". It matches the Rfam family "Bacterial small subunit ribosomal RNA", at positions 29 to 507 of the family's 1533-position model. The record is from RNAcentral.
AGUGAACGCUGGCGGUAGGCCUAACACAUGCGAGUCGAACGGCAGCACAGUAAGAGCUUGCUCUUACGGGUGGCGAGUGGCGGACGGGUGAGGAAUACAUCGGAAUCUACUUUUUCGUGGGGGAUAACGUAGGGAAACUUACGCUAAUACCGCAUACGACCUACGGGUGAAAGCAGGGGAUCUUCGGACCUUGCGCGAUUGAAUGAGCCGAUGUCGGAUUAGCUAGUUGGCGGGGUAAAGGCCCACCAAGGCGACGAUCCGUAGCUGGUCUGAGAGGAUGAUCAGCCACACUGGAACUGAGACACGGUCCAGACUCCUACGGGAGGCAGCAGUGGGGAAUAUUGGACAAUGGGCGCAAGCCUGAUCCAGCCACACCGCGUGGGUGAAGAAGGCCUUCGGGUUGUAAAGCCCUUUUGUUGGGAAAGAAAAGCAGCAGGUUAAUACCCCGCUGUUCUGACGGUACCCAAAGAAUAAGCACCGGCUAACUUCGUG